GAUGAAGAACGUAGCGAAAUGCGAUAAGUAAUGUGAAUUGCAGAAUUCAGUGAAUCAUCGAGUUUUUGAACGCAUAUUGCGCCCUCUGGUAUUCCGGGGGGCAUGCCUGUUCGAGCGUCAUUAAAUAACCCUCAAGCAUAGCUUGGUGUUGGGCUUUUUUACGUCCUUGACUGGGAUGGGCCUAAAAAUUAGUGGCGAUGGCUUUUUUACUUUCAAGCGUAGUAAAUCUCGUCUUGCUAAAGAGGAAAAAGAUUUUUUUUCUGCCAAAAAUUUUAACAUUUAAAGUUUACCUCGGAUCAGGUAGGAUUACCCGCUGAACUUAAGCAUAUCAAUAAGCGGAGGA
Molecule: unclassified non-coding RNA, 343 nt
Filed under: soil metagenome
Description: partial contains 5.8S ribosomal RNA, internal transcribed spacer 2, and large subunit ribosomal RNA
Rfam family: 5.8S ribosomal RNA (bases 1-120)
Source: RNAcentral